This 23-nucleotide non-coding RNA is filed under the name Arabidopsis thaliana (thale cress). The record is from RNAcentral. Lineage: Eukaryota; Viridiplantae; Streptophyta; Magnoliopsida; Brassicales; Brassicaceae.
GAGAUGUUGGUGAAAGGAGCUGC